Hemicordylus capensis (graceful crag lizard) is the source of this 3228-nucleotide long non-coding RNA. RefSeq lists it as uncharacterized. NCBI's taxonomy places the organism in Eukaryota, Metazoa, Chordata, Lepidosauria, Squamata, Cordylidae. The transcript has 2 exons. The record is from RefSeq and is a predicted model, not a curated record.
UUCCCGCCCAAACAGCCUACGUUCGCGGCGGGGGAGGGGGGUGGAAUGAGGCAGAAGAAGGCGGGGUCCUUCUGUUUUAUUCAGUCGGCACCAAUAGGAAACAGGAAGAUCUAAGAAUGAGAAAUGAUUGACAGGAUAAGGGCUUUUUUACUCCGUUGGAACCAAUAAGAAGAGCGGAUUCACGGAAGGCUGGAGAUGGUGAAACUUUUCCUGCUUGAGGAAAGCUGAGCUGCGAUUAAAUUGCGCUUAGAGGCGGGCUCUCUUCCUCCUGUGUCUUUUCCAAGCGGCUUGGCGAAGGUAAGUAUUCCACAGAUGCAACACAAAGAGCUUCUCCCGCGACGCGAAAGCAGCUUCACCAGUUGGAUUUCUGUGCGUCCCACGUGGCAGAGGAGGAAAAGGUGAUCGCUUUUUCCUGCCCUUUUUAAAAUGGCAGCGGCAGAAGCAGCAGCAUCGGAGGUGCUCCCGCUUCGCAUACAACCACACACGCGUCUCCCAGUCAGCUGAGGCGGAGUCUUCUUCCCACGUCGAUCUUUCCUCGGGGAGAGUGUCAGAGAGCCAGGACGUCGUGUGCCGCCGUUAGAGGAAUUUGCAAAUGGAUGCAAAACCUCCAGAGUGGUAGGAUAUGCAAGAAGAAGCACCUGAGAAGGAUAUUUAAUGGGGUGGAGGCCAGAAACGAAGAGACCCCAUUCCAUGACCCUAUUCCCCACAGUGCAGGAGGGAUUCCCAGAUGUUGUUGAUUACAACUCCCAUAAUCCAUUCCCCAGCCAAAGGCCAUCACAACAGGGGAUGUUGGGAGUUGUAGUGAACAACAUCUGGGAAUCCCUGUUGGAGGGAACACUGUUCCCAACAUUCCAUUGCCAGAAUAAGGGACAGGAGGUGUGUGAGUGUCAGGAGCCAUACCCUGCUCACCCCUCUGAGUCUGCUAACGAGUGGGGUCUGUUCCCCAAAAUAGGGAGGCUAAUAAUUAUAUGGCUGUGGGGACCACUUUCAUAGAGAACUAGCUUUGAGUAGCUGGCGUUUUCAGGUUUGCGAUGCGAGUGUCUCUUUGUUACUGCCUCAAUCGCCGUUUUGUGGAUAUACAUGUUGCGAGGUAGUUGUUGGGGUUCCCCGGACAGCCUGUGUUACUCACAGGCUCCUAGGCAGUCACUGUGCCAAGUUUGGUCCUAGGGUGUGGGAAUGUAUAGAGAACAGAAAGACAAACAGACAUUCUGUUUUAUAUGGAGAGGGAGAGGAUGCUGUUCUUCUCUCUUCCUCCCUUUUUAAACUUCUGCUGCCUCCACUAAGCUUUUCUUGCUUAGGUUUGUGUCCUGGCAAUCCCUUAGUAGUGCAGCUGAGGGCUGUGUGGGGAGAAGUUGAACUCACAGGACGUUGAGUGAACUUUAAAGUAAAACAAAGUGAAGUGUAUUUAUGUACAGUAGCUUAGAGGUUUCUCUCUGCAAGAGUAGGGCUAUACAAACAGCAGACACUUGCUUUUUGGGCAGUAUACAAAUAUAAUAGAUAGAUAAAUACAAGCAUAAUGGUUUCUAUAACACUGUAUCAAACUUAGUCCUUCAAGUGUAAAGGUAAAGUUUGCCAUCAAGUCUAUUUCGACUCCUGGUCCCCACAGAGCCCUGUGGUUUUCUUUUGAUAGAAUACAGGAGGGGUUGACCAUUGCCGCCUCCUCCCACACAGUAUGAGAUGAUGCCUUUCAGCAUCUUCCUAUAUCGCUGCUUCUCGAAAUAGCACCAGCGGGGAUUCGAACUGGCAACUUUCUGAUUGUUAGUUGAGCAUUUCCCUGCUGUGCCAUUAGGUGGCUCCUUUAAGUAUAGCUUCUGUUCUAUGUUACUGAGGUGCCUGUGUUGCAUUCAAAAAGCAGCGUUCCACUCCUAGCUCUUUUACUGGAAACAACCACCUUGGUUGGAGAUCCGUGUAUGAACCAUACAUAUCCAACAUUCAUACAUAAGAGUCACGCUUGCUAGCGAGGUGUUUCACCUCCCAGUAUCCAACCCAGAGACCUUCACUAGAGAGCCUAUCACUAGCCGUGCUCUGUCACUGGCUCCUCCAAGCCCUGUCUAGCACUCUCUCCAUCUAUCUCUGAGCUAACAGACAGUUUAACUGUCACCCUCUGCUCCUUUCUAAAGCCGCCAAUAAUAACAGUGUGUUUUUACCACUUUCAACUUAAACUAUAUCCUACAACUUAGGUGGCUUCUCUGCUUAUUGAUAUAACCAUCGUUAGGCAAACUGGGUGUGAUGUAAUUUUGUUGUCUAGAAAGAGUAGUGUUCUUAGCCAGUAAAGAUGGGUUUCACAUAUGAGCACUAUCUAGUAGUAGUCAUCGCGUGCAUGAUUUUCUUGAUCCUGAUACCUGGAGAAUGAUAAGUUAGCCAGUCAUUGAUGGCUGUUAAUGUUUUAUUUAUUUAUUACAUUUAUAUCCCGCUCUUCUUCCAAAGAACCCAGAGCAGUGUACAUGGUUAUCUUUGUCCUCACAAGAACCCUGUGAGGGAGGUUAGGCUAAGAGAUAUGUGACUGGCCCAGAGUCACCCAGAGUUUUCAUGGCUGAAUGGGGAUUUGAACUUGGGUCUCCCCGGUCCUAGUCCAACACUAACCGGUGCACCACACUGUCUAAUGUUCCCAAUACGGGACUAUUAGCGACCCUAAGCCUGCAGGCCACCAGAACCACAGAGUACUCAGGUUUGGGAGGGAGAAUGGAAAGGAGUUGGAGCUCAUGAUCAUGACCUUUAUUUUGUUUUAAGUGAAUGUUAUUAGGAAUGUGCUUCCUAGUGAAAUAAGAGCCUCCCCAUCUCUGAGCAAAUGAGCCCCUGGUGGCGCAGUGGUAAAACUGCCGCCCUGUAACCAGAAGGUUACAAGUUCGAUCCUGACCAGGGGCUCAAGGUUGACUCAGCCUUCCAUCCUUCCGAGGUCGGUAAAAUGAGUACCCAGAAUGUUGGGGGCAAUAUGCUAAAUCAUUGUAAACCGCUUAGAGAGCUCCGGCUAUAGAGCGGUAUAUAAAUGUAAGUGCUAUUGCUAUUGCUAUUGCUAUCUGUUCACCCAGGCUUUUAAUUGAUAUUGUUUUGAUUGUUUUUAAUGUUUUAGAAUAUUGUUGAAAAUUUUUUAAUUGUCAUGUUCUUAAAUUUCUUUUUUCUGUUUUUAACUAAUGUUUUACUUUUGUUUUUAUCUGGUUGUAAACCUCUCAGAGACGUAUGUUUUGGGCGGUAUAGAAAUACGAUAAAUAAAUAAAGUAACUGCUUUGA